GACGUAGGGCGCGAGCGUUGUCCGGAUUUAUUGGGCGUAAAGAGCUCGUAGGCGGCUUGUUGCGUCGACCGUGAAAACCCGGGGCUCAACUUCGGGCUUGCGGUCGAUACGGGCGGGCUAGAGCUCGGUAGGGGAGACUGGAAUUCCCGGUGUAGCGGUGAAAUGCGCAGAUAUCAGGAGGAACACCGGUGGCGAAGGCGGGUCUCUGGGCCGAUACUGACGCUGAGGAGCGAAAGCGUGGGGAGCGAACAGG
Molecule: ribosomal RNA, 253 nt
Filed under: uncultured bacterium
Lineage: Bacteria
Description: partial 16S ribosomal RNA
Rfam family: Bacterial small subunit ribosomal RNA
Source: RNAcentral